Molecule: small RNA, 75 nt
Filed under: Pseudorhodoplanes sinuspersici
Lineage: Bacteria; Pseudomonadati; Pseudomonadota; Alphaproteobacteria; Hyphomicrobiales
Description: Makes More Granules Regulator RNA (mmgR)
Rfam family: Makes More Granules Regulator RNA (mmgR)
About the family: SuhB later renamed mmgR (makes more granules regulator) was a putative non-coding RNA found multiple times in the Agrobacterium tumefaciens genome and related alpha-proteobacteria. Other non-coding RNAs uncovered in the same analysis include: speF, ybhL, metA, and serC.
Source: Rfam by way of RNAcentral
UCCCGCCGCCCUCCUUGGGCGUUUCCUCCCUAGACUUGGGCCGCUAGUUCGCUAGCGGCCCUUUUUUUUAGAAGC